AACAGGAUUAGAUACCCUGGUAGUCCACGCCGUAAACGUUGGGCGCUAGGUGUGGGGUUCCUUCCACGAACUCCGUGCCGCAGCUAACGCAUUAAGCGCCCCGCCUGGGGAGUACGGCCGCAAGGCUAAAACUCAAAGGAAUUGACGGGGGCCCGCACAAGCGGCGGAGCAUGCGGAUUAAUUCGAUGCAACGCGAAGAACCUUACCAAGGCUUGACAUGCACGGGAAAGUUCCAGAGAUGGUUCCCCCGCAAGGUCCGUGCACAGGUGGUGCAUGGUUGUCGUCAGCUCGUGUCGUGAGAUGUUGGGUUAAGUCCCGCAACGAGCGCAACCCUUGUCUUAUGUUGCCAGCGGGUUAUGCCGGGGACUCAUAAGAGACUGCCGGGGUCAACUCGGAGGAAGGUGGGGAUGACGUCAAAUCAUCAUGCCCCUUAUGUCUUGGGCUUCACGCAUGCUACAAUGGCCGGUACAAAGGGCUGCGAAACCGUGAGGUGGAGCGAAUCCCAAAAAGCCGGUCUCAGUUCGGAUUGGGGUCUGCAACUCGACCCCAUGAAGUCGGAGUCGCUAGUAAUCGCAGAUCAGCAACGCUGCGGUGAAUACGUUCCCGGGCCUUGUACACACCGCCCGUCACGUCACGAAAGUCGGUAACACCCGAAGCCAGUGGCCCAACCCGUUUACGGGAGGGAGCUGUCGAAGGUGGGAUCGGCGAUUGGGACGAAGUCGUAACAAGGUAACC
This 735-nucleotide ribosomal RNA is filed under the name uncultured bacterium. RNAcentral's name for it is "bacterial SSU rRNA". It matches the Rfam family "Bacterial small subunit ribosomal RNA", at positions 771 to 1501 of the family's 1533-position model. The record is from RNAcentral.